This 371-nucleotide ribosomal RNA is filed under the name uncultured organism. RNAcentral's name for it is "partial 16S ribosomal RNA". It matches the Rfam family "Bacterial small subunit ribosomal RNA", at positions 527 to 896 of the family's 1533-position model. The record is from RNAcentral.
GAAGGUGGCAAGCGUUGUUCGGAAUCACUGGGCUUAAAGCGUAUGUAGGCGGAAUGGGUAGCGUCAUGUGAAAUCCCUCGGCUUAACCGAGGAAUUGCGUGGCGAACUUCCAUUCUUGAGGCAGGCAGGGGUGUGUGGAACUCUUGGUGGAGCGGUGGAAUGCGUAGAUAUCAAGAGGAACGCCCGUGGAGAAAUCGGCACACUGGACCUGAUCUGACGCUGAGAUACGAAAGCGUGGGGGGAGCGAACGGGAUUAGAUACCCCGGUAGUCCACGCUGUAAACGAUGUCUACUAGGUUACGGGAGUCUGACGCUCUCGGAGCCGAAGCAAAAGUGAUAAGUAGACCGCCUGGGAGUACGGUCGCAAGGCUA